AGUGAACGCUGGCGGUAGGCCUAACACAUGCAAGUCGAACGGCAGCACAGUAAGAGCUUGCUCUUACGGGUGGCGAGUGGCGGACGGGUGAGGAAUACAUCGGAAUCUACUUUUUCGUGGGGGAUAACGUAGGGAAACUUACGCCAAUACCGCAUACGACCUACGGGUGAAAGCAGGGGAUCUUCGGACCUUGCGCGAUUGAAUGAGCCGAUGUCGGAUUAGCUAGUUGGCGGGGUAAAGGCCCACCAAGGCGACGAUCCGUAGCUGGUCUGAGAGGAUGACCAGCCACACUGGAACUGAGACACGGUCCAGACUCCUACGGGAGGCAGCAGUGGGGAAUAUUGGACAAUGGGCGCAAGCCUGAUCCAGCCAUACCGCGUGGGUGAAGAAGGCCUUCGGGUUGUAAAGCCCUUUUGUUGGGAAAGAAAAGCAGCAGGUUAAUACCCCGCUGUUCUGACGGUACCCAAAGAAUAAGCACCGGCUAACUUCGUG
Molecule: ribosomal RNA, 492 nt
Filed under: uncultured bacterium
Lineage: Bacteria
Description: partial 16S ribosomal RNA
Rfam family: Bacterial small subunit ribosomal RNA
Source: RNAcentral